Molecule: long non-coding RNA, 259 nt
Filed under: Brassica napus (rape)
Lineage: Eukaryota; Viridiplantae; Streptophyta; Magnoliopsida; Brassicales; Brassicaceae
Description: long non-coding RNA (BNAP_LNC023067)
Source: RNAcentral
GAUGAGGAGUAUACUAAAAGAAAAUUUAAAGUUGAAGGGAUGACCUGAGAAAACGUCUUAAACAGCAAGAUAAGCUGAAGGGAGACGAGUAUCUAGGUCGGAGAAAGAAGAAAUAGAUCACCGGAGAGGAGAGAACGUCUUAAACAGCUGCUGUGGUGGAGGAUAAAACACCAAGGAAAGCUGAAGGGAGACGAGUAUCACAACCGGGAAAUCAAAGCAGAUCACCAGACAAGUAUAACAUCACAUGCAUUAUCUUAAU